RNAcentral lists this ribosomal RNA (498 nucleotides) under uncultured bacterium. Its description in RNAcentral is "partial 16S ribosomal RNA". It matches the Rfam family "Bacterial small subunit ribosomal RNA", at positions 28 to 507 of the family's 1533-position model. The record is from RNAcentral.
GACGAACGCUGGCGGCGUGCCUAAUACAUGCAAGUCGAACGAGAGCGACCGGUGCUUGCACUGGUCAAUCUAGUGGCGAACGGGUGAGUAACACGUGGGUAACCUGCCCAUCAGAGGGGGAUAACAUCCGGAAACGGAUGCUAAAACCGCAUAGGUCUUCGAACCGCAUGGUUUGAAGAGGAAAAGAGGCGCAAGCUUCUGCUGAUGGAUGGACCCGCGGUGCAUUAGCUAGUUGGUGAGGUAACGGCUCACCAAGGCCGUGAUGCAUAGCCGACCUGAGAGGGUGAUCGGCCACAUUGGGACUGAGACACGGCCCAAACUCCUACGGGAGGCAGCAGUAGGGAAUCUUCCGCAAAGGACGCAAGUCUGACGGAGCAACGCCGCGUGAGUGAAGAAGGUGUUCGGAUCGUAAAACUCUGUUGUUAGAGAAGAACAAGUGCUAGAGUAACUGUUAGCGCCUUGACGGUAUCUAACCAGAAAGCCACGGCUAACUACGUG